GGGCCAUAGCUCAGCUGGGAGAGCGCCUGCCUUGCACGCAGGAGGUCUGCGGUUCGAUCCCGCA
RNAcentral lists this transfer RNA (64 nucleotides) under Pseudo-nitzschia fraudulenta. It matches the Rfam family "tRNA", at positions 8 to 63 of the family's 71-position model. From Rfam's summary of the family: Transfer RNA (tRNA) molecules are approximately 80 nucleotides in length. Their secondary structure includes four short double-helical elements and three loops (D, anti-codon, and T loops). Lineage: Eukaryota; Bacillariophyta; Bacillariophyceae; Bacillariales; Bacillariaceae. The record is from RNAcentral.